GGGUCGAACGCACCUCCGGUGCAUCGGUUGUACUGCCAAGUGCAUAGCCGGGUAGCCGAGUGCGGAUGUGAUAAUCGCUGACAGCAUCUAAGCGUGAAGCACACCUCAAGAUGAGAUAUCCCUUGCAUAAGCAAUAAGGUCACAGGUAGACUACCUGUUUGAUAGGUCGCGGGUGGAAGCGCAGUAAUGCGUGCAGCUGAGCGAUACUAAUCGACCGAGUGCUUGAACGCU
Molecule: ribosomal RNA, 231 nt
Filed under: Clostridia bacterium
Lineage: Bacteria; Bacillati; Bacillota; Clostridia
Description: partial 23S ribosomal RNA
Rfam family: Bacterial large subunit ribosomal RNA
Source: RNAcentral